Molecule: ribosomal RNA, 497 nt
Filed under: uncultured bacterium
Lineage: Bacteria
Description: partial 16S ribosomal RNA
Rfam family: Bacterial small subunit ribosomal RNA
Source: RNAcentral
GAUGAACGCUGGCGGCGUGCCUAAUACAUGCAAGUCGAGCGAACGGACGAGAAGCUUGCUUCUCUGAUGUUAGCGGCGGACGGGUGAGUAACACGUGGAUAACCUACCUAUAAGACUGGGAUAACUUCGGGAAACCGUAGCUAAUACCGGAUAAUAUUUUGAACCGCAUGGUUCAAAAGUGAAAGACGCUCUUGCUGUCACUUAUAGAUGGAUCCGCGCUGCAUUAGCUAGUUGGUAAGGUAACGGCUUACCAAGGCAACGAUGCAUAGCCGACCUGAGAGGGUGAUCGGCCACACUGGAACUGAGACACGGUCCAGACUCCUACGGGAGGCAGCAGUAGGGAAUCUUCCGCAAUGGGCGAAAGCCUGACGGAGCAACGCCGCGUGAGUGAUGAAGGUCUUCGGAUCGUAAAACUCUGUUAUUAGGGAAGAACAUAUGUGUAAGUAACUGUGCACAUCUUGACGGUACCUAAUCAGAAAGCCACGGCUAACUACGUG